AGACCCUGCCUUUCAGGCAUCCUCUCCUAAAACUUUUCAGGCCGGUCCCUUCGUGGGGCUGGCCUUUCUUUUUGGUCGAU
This 80-nucleotide small RNA is filed under the name Sphingomonas yantingensis. Its description in RNAcentral is "suhB". It matches the Rfam family "Makes More Granules Regulator RNA (mmgR)". Rfam says of the family: SuhB later renamed mmgR (makes more granules regulator) was a putative non-coding RNA found multiple times in the Agrobacterium tumefaciens genome and related alpha-proteobacteria. Other non-coding RNAs uncovered in the same analysis include: speF, ybhL, metA, and serC. Several studies inSinorhizobium meliloti showed that suhB element is indeed a non-coding RNA:firstly it was detected on Northern blot and called Sm8RNA, secondly in an RNAseq study referred to as SmelC689. Lineage: Bacteria; Pseudomonadati; Pseudomonadota; Alphaproteobacteria; Sphingomonadales; Sphingomonadaceae. The record is from RNAcentral.